This 253-nucleotide ribosomal RNA is filed under the name uncultured bacterium. RNAcentral's name for it is "partial 16S ribosomal RNA". It matches the Rfam family "Bacterial small subunit ribosomal RNA", at positions 524 to 776 of the family's 1533-position model. The record is from RNAcentral.
UACGUAGGGUGCGAGCGUUGUCCGGAAUUACUGGGCGUAAAGAGCUCGUAGGUGGUUUGUCGCGUUGUUCGUGAAAACUCACAGCUCAACUGUGGGCGUGCGGGCGAUACGGGCAGACUGGAGUACUGCAGGGGAGACUGGAAUUCCUGGUGUAGCAGUGAAAUGCGUAGAGAUCAUGAGGAAGACCAGUGGCGAAGGCGGGUCUCUGGACAGUUCCUGACACUGAGGCACGAAGGCCAGGGGAGCAAACGGG